Molecule: transfer RNA, 48 nt
Filed under: Riccia crozalsii
Lineage: Eukaryota; Viridiplantae; Streptophyta; Marchantiopsida; Marchantiales; Ricciaceae
Description: partial tRNA-Phe
Source: RNAcentral
CCGGGAUAGCUCAGUUGGUAGAGCAGAGRWCUGAAAAUCCUCGUGUCA